RNAcentral lists this long non-coding RNA (744 nucleotides) under Durio zibethinus. RNAcentral's name for it is "long non-coding RNA (DZIB_LNC001757)". The record is from RNAcentral. Lineage: Eukaryota; Viridiplantae; Streptophyta; Magnoliopsida; Malvales; Malvaceae.
GUUAUUACUUGUCUCCCGAGAACUCUUAUUCUCAAUUGGCUUUUCAUUGAAUGUAUCGAUUAUAGCAAGACCAAUACCUUUUGAUUCUAAUUUCUUAGGUGAGUGCUGUUUGUUAUUGGGUGAGAAAACUUCUGGGGAUUUUCGCUGGUUUAUGUUAAAACCAAAGGGGUAACCAAAAGGAAAGAAUGGUUUGUUGUCAAGGAUUGAAGUAGGACUCUUGAUAGCAUCAUUCUCGGGGAGACCAUUUGUAGUGAAAGCUUUAAAUCUUGGAGAAUCAAAGAAAGAUGGGAUUGGUUUAGUGUGAUUCUGGGCAGGGGAUGAUUGAGAGCUGUGAUCAGCCAUUAAAGCUUGCUUGCUGGUCACUGAUCUGGACCUAUUCCUUAGCAUAUCUACCUCUUAUCAGAUUUAUAUCAGCCCCCAAAAAUUUUAAUAUGAAACGAAACCAAAAACAAAUGAAAGAAUCAGAUUAAUUAAGCAGAAGGAACACCAAACUAAAAGGACAGAGAUGGAAAGUCAGAAAAGGCAUGAGCUCACCUGGAAGGCUGGAAAUGAUUUGCGCCUGUCACAAAAAUCCACCUUCAGAUGUUGAAAACUCAAAAGUAGGUACCACGAAAAAAAAAAAAAAGUAAAACGGGUUCUCUGUUUUCUGCUAAAACUCUACUGGAAAUCCCUCUCAAACAUUACACACAAAUCCAUGCAAGUUUUUUUUUUCUUUUUAAUUUCAACAGAAAAGAAAACGCCUAC